Molecule: unclassified non-coding RNA, 263 nt
Filed under: plant metagenome
Description: partial contains small subunit ribosomal RNA, internal transcribed spacer 1, and 5.8S ribosomal RNA
Source: RNAcentral
UCUCCGUAGGUGAACCUGCGGAAGGAUCAUUAUUGUAUAACCGAGGUGCGAGGGCUGUCGCUGACCCGAAAGGUCGUGCACGCCCGAGUGCCCUCACACACAUCCAUCUCACCCCUAUGUGCACCACCGCGUGGGUCCCCCUUUGGCUUGUUCGGAGGGGGGCUUACGUUUUCACACAAACUUUGUAUGCAGUGUAGAAUGUAUUUUUUGUUUUUGCGAUCACGCAAUCAAUACGACUUUCAACAACGGAUCUCUUGGCUCUC